GAUGAAGAACGCAGCGAAAUGCGAUAAGUAGUGUGAAUUGCAGAAUUCAGUGAAUCAUCGAAUCUUUGAACGCACAUUGCGCCCCUUGGUAUUCCAUGGGGCAUGCCUGUUCGAGCGUCAUUUCAACCCUCAAGCCCUGCUUGGUGUUGGGGUCCCACGGCCGCCGUGGGCCCUGAAAGGAAGUGGCGGGCUCGCUACAACUCCGAGCGUAGUAAUUCAUUAUCUCGCUUAGGGCGUUGGGCGGCGCUCCUGCCGUUAAAGAACCAUCUUUAACUCAAGGUUGACCUCGGAUCAGGUAGGAAUACCCGCUGAACUUAAGCAUAUCAAUAAGCGGAGGA
This 338-nucleotide unclassified non-coding RNA is filed under the name soil metagenome. Its description in RNAcentral is "partial contains 5.8S ribosomal RNA, internal transcribed spacer 2, and large subunit ribosomal RNA". The stretch from base 1 to 120 matches the Rfam family "5.8S ribosomal RNA", at positions 35 to 154 of the family's 154-position model. The record is from RNAcentral.